This 1028-nucleotide long non-coding RNA is filed under the name Neogobius melanostomus (round goby). RNAcentral's name for it is "lncRNA (ENSNMLG00000009067.1)". Lineage: Eukaryota; Metazoa; Chordata; Actinopteri; Gobiiformes; Gobiidae. The record is from RNAcentral.
UUUCAGUGCAGCAUUAGAGUGAUGUCUGUCAGUACAGCUCUCUGUCUUACCUUGGGACAGGCGGACGGGCUGUUUGACCUGGAAUCCAUCCACGGAGCAAAGGUUGCCACAGGGGUAAAGCGUGAUCACCCCGACCUGUUCUCAAUGAAACAGUGCUGGGCUGCCACACCGGGACCCUGGAUGGUAAUAUCCAUCGGACCAUGGCCCAGAGUGGUCCGGCCUAGGAUGAGAUACAUUACACAUCUCUCACCUGUAGUGUCCCGGGGUGGGUGCGUCCACAGUCGGGCAUGUUCCUGUUCAGUCGGUCCAUGUCCACAGAACUGUCCCCGUCUCCGGUCGACACAUGAAGGUCCUGCAGGAGGAAAUGAUGUCAUGAGCACUGCGUUUGCAACAUCAACAUAGUAUCCAAAUCAAUGAGAUCACUGUUCUGAUGAAGCUACAAUGUCUUUUUUUCAAUGUAUUUUUGUUCCAGGGCCAUUUCUAAGAUUGUGCAAUCUGCCUCUUCUGCAAAUGUGUAAUCAUCUGUGAUUCACGGUGGAAAACAACAUAACAGGAAACAUGUAUGAACAAUCUGUAAUGACAAAUAACACAGUGUAAUACAGCUAAUAUGUCCUCCUUUGGGCACAUAAGAGUACCCGCAUUCAUUUUGGAUAAAAGGCACAACGUCAUUGUUUCUAUUUUUGUCUGAUGGUGGCCAAUCGGGACACAGCUGGAGGAUUGUCCUACAGUAUGUUUCUCAUGUUGAUUCCUUUAUUAUUAUUGUUUUAUUUUUCUUCUCUUUCUUUGAUUGGUUGAUGCAAGGCAAAGGGAAGCAACAUUUUAAUUGUAUAUCUAUCUACUUUCACACAAAAAGACUACACUUACAGCAACCAUAUAUAAAACUGCAACCUAUUGAAAGGGUUGAAUAAAGAACUGGUUGAAUUUGUUUGAGCCUGACUAUGCAAGGGGGGUAUUGUUCGACCCCGAAUGAGGAUGUGAAAGUCAACAAAGUCAUCUUGGCACACACAUACAAAAAUCGCUGACCAAAU